This 215-nucleotide ribosomal RNA is filed under the name Campeiostachys nutans. RNAcentral's name for it is "Elymus nutans partial small subunit ribosomal RNA". The stretch from base 46 to 215 matches the Rfam family "Eukaryotic small subunit ribosomal RNA", at positions 693 to 864 of the family's 1831-position model. Lineage: Eukaryota; Viridiplantae; Streptophyta; Magnoliopsida; Poales; Poaceae. The record is from RNAcentral.
GGACCAUCAUGUCGGUCGUGCCUCGGUACGUACUGGUAUUAUUGGUUUCUCCCUUCUGACGAACCAUGAUGUCAUUAAUUUGAUGUCGUGGAGAAUCAGGACUGUUACUUUGAAAAAAUUAGAGUGUUUAAAGCAGGCAUUAGCUUGAAUACAUUAGCAUGGAAUAAUGAAAUAGGACGUUUGAUCCUAUUUUGUUGGUUUCUAGGAUUGACGUA